Molecule: ribosomal RNA, 482 nt
Filed under: Clostridioides difficile
Lineage: Bacteria; Bacillati; Bacillota; Clostridia; Peptostreptococcales; Peptostreptococcaceae
Description: bacterial SSU rRNA
Rfam family: Bacterial small subunit ribosomal RNA
Source: RNAcentral
UCCUACGGGAGGCAGCAGUGGGGAAUAUUGCACAAUGGGCGAAAGCCUGAUGCAGCAACGCCGCGUGAGUGAUGAAGGCCUUCGGGUCGUAAAACUCUGUCCUCAAGGAAGAUAAUGACGGUACUUGAGGAGGAAGCCCCGGCUAACUACGUGCCAGCAGCCGCGGUAAUACGUAGGGGGCUAGCGUUAUCCGGAUUUACUGGGCGUAAAGGGUGCGUAGGCGGUCUUUCAAGUCAGGAGUGAAAGGCUACGGCUCAACCGUAGUAAGCUCUUGAAACUGGGAGACUUGAGUGCAGGAGAGGAGAGUGGAAUGCCUAGUGUAGCGGUGAAAUGCGUAGAUAUUAGGAGGAACACCAGUUGCGAAGGCGGCUCUCUGGACUGUAACUGACGCUGAGGCACGAAAGCGUGGGGAGCAAACAGGAUUAGAUACCCUGGUAGUCCACGCUGUAAACGAUGAGUACUAGGUGUCGGGGGUUACCCCC